Non-coding RNA from Lenzites betulinus, 85 nucleotides. Lineage: Eukaryota; Fungi; Basidiomycota; Agaricomycetes; Polyporales; Polyporaceae. The record is from the annotation of a GenBank genome assembly.
UGCCCCAUGGCUGAGUUGGUUACAGCGUCCGACUGUUAUCUCAUGCGCAAUCGGAAGGUCGUGAGUUCGAGCCUCACUGGGGCAG